Molecule: non-coding RNA, 141 nt
Organism: Tubulinosema ratisbonensis
Lineage: Eukaryota; Fungi; Microsporidia; Tubulinosematidae
Source: the annotation of a GenBank genome assembly
CGUCGGUUACUAUUCAGAAUCACAUUUUUAGUAACUAACAAAAAAGAUCGAAAAGAUCUGCAGAAAACACACUAGGAUGAGGAUUUAAGACAAAGUAAGUUACUUGAUUAUAUGAUAGUUUUUACUUUGUUGUCUGACUAG